Long non-coding RNA from Bombus impatiens (common eastern bumble bee), 692 nucleotides. RefSeq lists it as uncharacterized. Lineage: Eukaryota; Metazoa; Arthropoda; Insecta; Hymenoptera; Apidae. The record is from RefSeq and is a predicted model, not a curated record. The transcript has 2 exons.
UUAUGACAUGAUUUAACUAUUGAACCGAAGUCAAUCCCACUCGCAAUUUCGUCCACCACGAACACGAUUACAUCAUUUUCAUUCCCAUCAUUCUUCCACUUCGCUGUUCGAACAUUUCCCUUAUAACUUUACUUUCCGUUCCAUUGUUUCCCUAAGCGUUUGUCCGGACACAACCUUUUGUUGCGAAACAUGAAAAACUGCCUACAUAUCAUCUUAUCCCAGUUUCAGUGGUAGUGAAUGAGUUUCUUCGCAAUAUUUUUUUCACUCUCCACUGGAACUCGAUAUGGCACGCGCGGCGCAUCGUAAAUAGAAGAAGUAGCUCUAAAAGGCAAAUUUCAAUUUACGUAACUCAGACGCGGCUGAGAAAUCGUCGAAGACACUUGCUGCGGGCGGAGUUAAUUGCGAACGCAACAACGGACUCGAAGGAAGAAAAUUUUAUGUCGUAGUCAUCGAUGGAAUUAUUUCGUCAAGAACUCUAUAAAAUCGCUUUCCUCACCGGAACUUCCUUGCGGCCUAUGAUCUUGCACUGAGGGCGGCCGACCAUACCAUACUGGUAGUUACAUGAGCAAUCUUUCUGGAGUUCUAAAUUAAUGAGUCCAUCGACGACCCUCCUUGCCGCUACUUGGAUGAAUUGCUUCUUCUGAUUCGGCUUGGCGUCCAAGAAGUUGUUAGAACUGAACGCAGCACCACCA